AUACGGAGGGUCCAAGCGUUAUCCGGAAUCAUUGGGUUUAAAGGGUCCGCAGGCGGUCAAUUAAGUCAGAGGUGAAAGCCCAUCGCUCAACGAUGGAACUGCCUUUGAUACUGGUUGACUUGAGUUAUACGGAAGUGGAUAGAAUAAGUAGUGUAGCGGUGAAAUGCAUAGAUAUUACUUAGAAUACCGAUUGCGAAGGCAGUCUACUACGUAUAUACUGACGCUGAGGGACGAAAGCGUGGGGAGCGAACAGGAUUAGAAACCCUAGUAGUCC
This 274-nucleotide ribosomal RNA is filed under the name uncultured bacterium. RNAcentral's name for it is "partial 16S ribosomal RNA". It matches the Rfam family "Bacterial small subunit ribosomal RNA", at positions 523 to 796 of the family's 1533-position model. The record is from RNAcentral.